UGGAGACGCCAGUCAGUGCCACAGUCGGAGGAGAGGAUCUAUGCGCCAGCCCUUUCGAAAUGUUGCCAGUGCUGUGCUUGAGCUCCUGGUUAUGAGCAGUGAACGAAGCCAAAGGUCUGCAUGACCCAUGGAAGAGGAGAAACUACUGGCAACAGCAGGCCAGGCAGGCUGCUCUGCAGGUGUUGGAUACCAGUCUUGGCCUCAAUCCGUAACUAUCUGUGUGAACUGGACAAGCCCAUCAAUUCCUUUGUGUCUCAGUUGAUUAAUCUAUAAAAUGAGAAGAAUAAUGUGUAA
This is a non-coding RNA of Macaca mulatta (Rhesus monkey), 294 nucleotides long. The record is from RefSeq and is a predicted model, not a curated record. Lineage: Eukaryota; Metazoa; Chordata; Mammalia; Primates; Cercopithecidae.